This 240-nucleotide unclassified non-coding RNA is filed under the name soil metagenome. RNAcentral's name for it is "partial contains 5.8S ribosomal RNA, internal transcribed spacer 2, and large subunit ribosomal RNA". The record is from RNAcentral.
AACGCACGAGACCUGCGGACCUGCGGAGGGAUCAUUAUAGGAAUAUAAGCAUUACAAAAACGAGAAGGGAAAGAAUUUUCUUCUUCUUGGAAAGGUAUAAUGAUGGGGGUGGUGGUGGGAGUGAGUAAGUAAAAGCUUGCUGCUGCUGCUGCUGCUGCCAUUGUUAUAUUUUUCAACCAAACAAACAAAUGCAACUAUAUGAAAAAGAGGGAUGGAUUGGAUUCUCUACAUAUGUAUGUA